GAGAAUUAGAGUCCAUCUCUCAGGGGAAAAAGUCACAACAAAUGUGUGGCCAACUCUAAUCUACCAUAAGGAGCAAUGAACAAAGCAGAGUGAUUUAAGUAAAUUGUCAAUGUCCAAGAGCAGGAGCAACUGUCAGAGAAAGAGGAACAGGAUGAGUGUAGAGGGCUUUGAAGGAAUACCUAGGACCACGGGGGCUGCAGACACAAACCAUGCCUGAAGCCAGCUCGAGCCAUCUCCCACUGUUCUCACUGGGAAUGCUCCUAAUUACUUUCAUGUGGGAUAUAAUAUUUACUGAAGGAUAAAUAAUAAA
This 310-nucleotide long non-coding RNA is filed under the name Equus caballus (horse). Its description in RNAcentral is "lncRNA (ENSECAG00000050883.1)". Lineage: Eukaryota; Metazoa; Chordata; Mammalia; Perissodactyla; Equidae. The record is from RNAcentral.